Molecule: long non-coding RNA, 471 nt
Organism: Chelonia mydas (Green sea turtle)
Lineage: Eukaryota; Metazoa; Chordata; Testudines; Cheloniidae
Exons: 2
Source: RefSeq, a predicted model, not a curated record
CCUUUCCCCCUCUUGGCAUUGGCCCUCUUCAUGCCAAAGUGAGCUCCCUGUAACUAGGGUGUGCAACUUUCCCAAGCUUACUCGCCCAUUUGAAAGCUAGUUAUAGAAAGCAGCCUCUUUGGAGAGUUAGGGGUUUGUCCUUCUAGCUCUCCUGUCGCCGUGCCCUACUCACACGCACAACCAAGUCCAAACCGAGCGAACUCUGCAUCCCGCUGGCCCUGACUGCUGCUGCUGCUGCAAGGUUUCCUGCUCUACGCCACAGCAACUCAGAAGAGAAAACGGAGAAGAGGACAGAAGUACCAAAGAAACGGCAGGAAAAGACAAUGGAAGCAGAAGCCACAGAAAAGGGACACACACCUUGCACGCAUGGGCCUCCCUGCAAUGAGGACACGGGAUUUCCACUUAAGCUUCAUUCCCCCUUGAGGUGCCAGGUAAAAGGACCUCCCUGUAAACGGGGAUCAAGGUCCACCC